Molecule: long non-coding RNA, 1214 nt
Filed under: Homo sapiens (human)
Lineage: Eukaryota; Metazoa; Chordata; Mammalia; Primates; Hominidae
Description: HSALNT0012742
Source: RNAcentral
CGAUGGAGAGACAGUGUUCAUUGCCAGAUGUAGAAACCAAGGCUCAGAUGGGAUAACCGACUUUUCCAAGUCCAACAGACAGUAAGGAAAGGAAUGGCGAGAUCAACUCAGAUCUUCUCUUAGCCAUGCUGAGGGUAAUCGCCUUGCAAUUACCUCUUCAAUGGAUAUUCCUUGCAAGAAUUAAAACUCUAUUAGGCUUUUUCCAAGAUAGCUCCUUCCAGAACUCAGUUCAUCCAGGUCAAAAAAGCACUGGAAGGUAAAUUGGCAACCACUCAUCAUAUCACAUGAUGUUUUCCAAAAUGUAAGACUGUCCCAAUCAAAGGAGCUGGUAGCAAACAUAAUGAACGUCAGCUGAGACUCUAUAAACCAAAAAAGCCCUGGGUUGACUGUGUUCAUGUGACUUCAAAAGAGGGUAAUCUGCAGGGGGUGUUCCUGCAGGGCCUACUUUGCACCCUUUGCUACCCUUUAGAUACCAUUUGACCUCAUUUUCCUCUCUGUGUGAUGGCCAAACCACAGGCUCCCUCUUCUAUCUGGCCCCAUGAGCAUUAAUCAACUUCAACCUUCCCCAAGACCUGGCAGGAGAGAUGCAGUACCUACUUCUUAAUAAACUCAAACUGUCAUUGAAGAUGAAAGAUGAGACUGCAAAACUUCGAGCAUCCCAACUCCCCAGCUUGCCAAGUGCUGGGAAUCCGGAGGGGAGUGCCCUCGAGGACAGGUCUCUGUGGAUGGUGCAGAAAAGUCAGCUAGCUGCCUUCUCUUUUUUCCCUUCUCUUUCUUCCCCUAAAUGCUCCCUCAGUGAUACCACUGUGUCUGCAGUAAAGAGAGACUGUCUAGCUGUUUCUUUUUCAGCAAGACAAUUUGGUGUGUGGUCUGUGGUGCCCACACAUUCUUCUUUGCAAUGAGUGGUGGGUGAACAGUGUUUUCCAAGUUGGAUGUUACAGUACCAUAAGUAGAAACAGAUCUCCCGGAGCUCCGAACACUUUUUCUGCCUGAGUUGGGAGGAUCAGCAGGCUCCUGUGUAGAUGGCCCAGCAGAUUCCUUGGGAGCAGCUUUGCAGCAUUUCCCCACUCACUGGCCCUCACCAAUCAUAAUGAAAGCUCAAUUAGGUGGUGGACUUCCACUUUUGUAACUGCCAGCUCUGGGAAGGACCCCUUACUCCGUAUCUGCUUUUCCAGAAAGCCUGAAGUUUCUCUAACAGAAUAUGAAUCCUGACG